This 474-nucleotide ribosomal RNA is filed under the name uncultured organism. Its description in RNAcentral is "partial 16S ribosomal RNA". It matches the Rfam family "Bacterial small subunit ribosomal RNA", at positions 332 to 797 of the family's 1533-position model. The record is from RNAcentral.
UACACUCCUACGGGAGGCAGCAGUGGGGAAUAUUGCACAAUGGGCGCAAGCCUGAUGCAGCCAUGCCGCGUGUAUGAAGAAGGCCUUCGGGUUGUAAAGUACUUUCAGCGGGGAGGAAGGCAAUACGGUUAAUAACCGUGUUGAUUGACGUUACCCGCAGAAGAAGCACCGGCUAACUCCGUGCCAGCAGCCGCGGUAAUACGGAGGGUGCAAGCGUUAAUCGGAAUUACUGGGCGUAAAGCGCACGCAGGCGGUCUGUCAAGUCGGAUGUGAAAUCCCCGGGCUCAACCUGGGAACUGCAUUCGAAACUGGCAGGCUGGAGUCUUGUAGAGGGGGGUAGAAUUCCAGGUGUAGCGGUGAAAUGCGUAGAGAUCUGGAGGAAUACCGGUGGCGAAGGCGGCCCCCUGGACAAAGACUGACGCUCAGGUGCGAAAGCGUGGGGAGCAAACAGGAUUAGAAACCCCAGUAGUCCCA